AUGAGAUUGCUUCGCGGGGCAGUUGUUAUCUUGCUCAGUUUUGGCACAGUACCAUGUGAUGCAAUUGAGCCGGCCACGUGGCACCCACUCAGCGCAUCCAGCGGCACCGUGAGCAGUCAGAGUGUCUGGAAGAGGGCAUGGGAGGAACCCUCCUCACAGAAGGGCUCAGAAGGGACACAAACGCCCCUGCCCUUCCAACAGCUGCUGGCCAGCAAAGUACAUCGUCGGCUUUCAGCCAUCCUGUGCGUGAGUAGAAAGGGUGUUUCCAGCACAUCCCAAAAAGGGUUUCAGGAAGAGGGGAGAGAGCUAAAAUUUACUCAGUAGUUAGUAAAUCUCAGGCAGCAUUCAAGAUGACGAGCCAUCCCAGUGUGCCUGGUCAGAGGGAUUUCCUGGGACUUUCAGAGCUACAACUAGGAUAGUCUUGGACAACUGGCAUAGUUGGUCACCCUACUUCGUUUCUUGGUUUACUUCUCUCAUCAACCAUAUGUGCGUUUUACUUAUGAGAAAUCCAGGCCUUCAGUCAUGCGGCCAGAGUGGCAGGAUUGGAGUCAAGACUUCCACGACUCCCAGGUCCGGGUCCUUUCUACCACAUCCCAAGGACUCCCUGACCUGCCUUCAGAUGCAGUAAUUCUGAGAUAGCUCUGUGCAGCUCUCCCCCCAAAAAUGUACUCUUCAGAGCACUCAGAUCAUGAGAUAUGGAAAGAAAUGGAUGAAGGCUUGCUGGAAAGGCAGGGACAGAUACUUUGCAGGAAGAAAAGGACUUCCAAAGUGUGCACAGCAACUUGGGGUUUGAAAAAUCUUUGUUCUAAGGGCCAGAACUUUAGUGUCAACCUGACACUGGGAAGGGGUAAGAACUGAUGAAAAUAGUCCUAACUGAGAAGCACUUUGAGCUUCUGGGAGAGAGACUGCUACACUGAAGUGGCCAGCUCUAGGCCACGUCAUAGGACCUGGGUGGGCAUCAUUCUUUCUGACGCUUGUCUCCUCUAUCCUACUUAUUUGAGAUUUCAAAGUAGUCAUCUGGUUUAUCUUUUCAAGUGUGACCAUAUAAUACACUAUUCAAACAAUGGCACUUCCGAGAAUGAAAGGGGAACAAUUCAUAAUUAGGCAAGGACAACAGUGGGGAAUGGGACUCUGCCCCAGUUAACUGGGAUACCUGAUCCCCGGGCCAGCUCUUCUGAUCAUGAGGAACUUAGUUGUGAUCUUGCCUUCUAAUACAGCAAACAAAGCAGGGAAAUUCCCAGCCCCAUGCCAUUGCCAUUGGGCUCUUCUGCCUCUCCCUGGUUCUGCCCCACAUCCCAAGGUCUAAAGAAUACCUUUUCCCCAAAGGUCUGAAUACUCCUUUGAGUCAUUUCCAUCAAAUAUCAGCAUAGGAAUGCUUAUUUCAACUACUCUUUCUUGAUCACCACAGAGUUUUCUGAGCACUCACCUUAAACAGGGCCUCUUCUGGGUGCUACAGACAUUUUCAAGGGAGAGAGACCUCACCCACCCAUCGGCUGUGAGCUGGCUGGCUGGUGCGUGAGUCUGUUGGGGGGUGAACCUGCCCCUCCUGACGUUGCCCCUCAGUGACUGACCACAGGCUUUGGAAAAACCUCUUCAGCAGGGUACCGCUUACUCUGAUCUACUUAAACAGCGACUCCCACGCCCUGAGGAGGAGCUGAGCGUGCCACAGCAGCAGAAUGCAACUUUGCUGAGAUCAAAGUGCGAACCUGCUGAAGCUGUGUGUCUGAAAUUACCCAGAAAUCGCUUUGUGCUCACCCAUGGUGCAGAAGCGAUGGUGAGCCAGAGUGCAGAGACCACG
Molecule: long non-coding RNA, 1798 nt
Filed under: Cercocebus atys (sooty mangabey)
Lineage: Eukaryota; Metazoa; Chordata; Mammalia; Primates; Cercopithecidae
Description: lncRNA (ENSCATG00000045859.1)
Source: RNAcentral